ACCAGCGGAGGAUCAUUAUCGAGUGUUACAACUCCCAAACCCUAUGUGACCCUUACCUAUCGUUGCUUCGGCGGGAUCGUCCCGGUGGCCCAGCAUCUGGGCCGCCGGAUCCACGGCGCCCGCCGGGGGACCGAAACUCUUGCUUGUUUUCAGCGGUUUUCUCUCUGAGUGGCACAAGCAAUAAAAUGCUAAAUCAAAACUUUCAACAACGGAUCUCUUGGUUCUGGCAUCGAUGAAGAACGCAAGCGAAAUGCGAUAAGUAAUGUGAAUUGCAGAAUUCAGUGAAUCAUCGAAUCUUUGAACGCACAUUGCGCCCGCUAGUAUUCUGGCGGGCAUGCCUGUUCGAGCGUCAUUUCAACCCUCAAGCCCCUAAAGCUUGGCGUUGGGGAUCGGCCUCCCACCCCGGAGGCCGGCCCCGAAAUGCAGUGGCGGUCCCGCCGCAGCGUCCUCUGCGUAGUAGCAAACACCUCGCACUGGAGCGCGGCGCGGCCACGCCGUAAAGCAGAGCGCUCGCGCUCUACUACCCAAGGUUGACCUCGGAUCAGGUAGGAAUACCCGCUGAACUUAAGCAUAUCAAUAAGCGGAGGAAAAGAAACCAACAGGGAUUGCCUCAGUAACGGCGAGUGAAGCGGCAACAGCUCAAAUUUGAAAUCUGGCGCAAGCCCGAAUUGUAAUUUGCAGAGGAUGCUUUGGGCGCGGUGCCUUCCGAGUUCCCUGGAACGGGACGCCACAGAGGGUGAGAGCCCCGUCUGGUCGGAUGCCAAGCCUGUGUAAAGCUCCUUCGACGAGUCGAGUAGUUUGGGAAUGCUGCUCUAAAUGGGAGGUAUAUGUCUUCUAAAGCUAAAUACCGGCCAGAGACCGAUAGCGCACAAGUAGAGUGAUCGAAAGAUGAAAAGCACUUUGAAAAGAGGGUUAAAUAGUACGUGAAAUUGUUGAAAGGGAAGCGCUUGUGACCAGACUUGGGCCUGGCGAAUCAUCCGGCGUUCUCGCCGGGGCACUUUUCCAGGUUCAGUCCAGCAUCAGUUCGCCGCGGGGGAUAAAGGCUUCGGGAAUGUGGCUCUUCGGAGUGUUAUAGACCGUUGCGUAAUMCCCUGAGGUGGACUGAGGUCCGCUCCGCAA
Molecule: ribosomal RNA, 1119 nt
Filed under: uncultured Helotiales
Lineage: Eukaryota; Fungi; Ascomycota; Leotiomycetes; Helotiales
Description: eukaryotic LSU rRNA
Rfam family: Eukaryotic large subunit ribosomal RNA (bases 532-1119)
Source: RNAcentral